GAGGCUGUUUCCAGAUUUGAACCC
This 24-nucleotide microRNA is filed under the name Glycine max (soybean). RNAcentral's name for it is "gma-miR10417". The record is from miRBase by way of RNAcentral. Lineage: Eukaryota; Viridiplantae; Streptophyta; Magnoliopsida; Fabales; Fabaceae.